RNAcentral lists this long non-coding RNA (434 nucleotides) under Nicotiana benthamiana. RNAcentral's name for it is "long non-coding RNA (NBEN_LNC005893)". Lineage: Eukaryota; Viridiplantae; Streptophyta; Magnoliopsida; Solanales; Solanaceae. The record is from RNAcentral.
UAAGCUUAUUCGGAGUUAAUAAAUGAUAUAACCAUUUAUUAAUCGUCGUGCCCGAUCAUCGGCUGACUCACUUGUUAAGGCUACGGCCCAUUCACCAUCAGAGGAACGGGACCUCAGCGUAGUCAUGACUAUCACUGCAAGCUCACACAUCUUGUAUCUAUAAAUACAAAGAGAAGGAGCCCUAGAAAGGGGCCUGCUUUUCUUCUUCAUUACUAUUUCCAAGAAAGAGAGAACAUCAUUAUAAGGCUCUGAACCUCUCCAUGGAUAGACAGACCAAAGCAAUAUUAUCAAUAAAAGAUCUCUUCCUUCCUUUGCUUGAUAAAUAACAUUUGUCUCGUGCAUUUUCCAUUUGGUCUUUUGAUUAUUACGAUCUGCUAUGAUUGACCCUUGAUCUAUUUCGAUUGUUUUUAGGCUUGCAAAUUGUAUGAUAACUU